GUCAGGAUGGCCAAGUGGUCCAAGGUGCUGCGUUCUGGUUGCAGUCUUUCCUGGAGGUGUGGGUUCAAAUCCCACUUCUGACA
Sphaeramia orbicularis (orbiculate cardinalfish) is the source of this 83-nucleotide non-coding RNA. Lineage: Eukaryota; Metazoa; Chordata; Actinopteri; Kurtiformes; Apogonidae. The record is from the annotation of a RefSeq genome assembly.